GGUUGAUAUGCUGCUUGUUCGCUCAAUCGACGAGUCGCCAGAACCCCUUGCUCAUGGAAACCAUCGUAAAUGGAGAAAAUUGGUCAGGGACUUGACAGUUCCACGCCGCUAUAUUAUGCAAAGGCUCUCUGUUGCAAUGCUCAAUAUCAGUGACCAGCUGCAUACGGAGGCUGUAAUCGAGAAUGCACGAAAGGUCACAAGUUGGAAGGAAUUUGCCUAUGAAUCGUCAUGCUGCGGAGGUU
This 242-nucleotide unclassified non-coding RNA is filed under the name Hevea brasiliensis (rubber tree). The record is from RNAcentral. Lineage: Eukaryota; Viridiplantae; Streptophyta; Magnoliopsida; Malpighiales; Euphorbiaceae.